Long non-coding RNA from Pistacia vera, 254 nucleotides. RefSeq lists it as uncharacterized. The transcript has 3 exons. The record is from RefSeq and is a predicted model, not a curated record. NCBI's taxonomy places the organism in Eukaryota, Viridiplantae, Streptophyta, Magnoliopsida, Sapindales, Anacardiaceae.
UUGAGCAAUAAGAUUCAGGAUUUGAAGAGAGAUCACUCAAGUCUUUCAGAUCAAGUGAAGAACAUGAAUACUGAUUGUUUUCCUGGCCCUGGUGUUUUAGACAAUCUUCAGAAUCUCAGUAAUGAAUAUGAGCUUUUAAAAAAGAAAUACAUAGAUGAGUCCUCUGAACAAAAGUGGCUUUACAAUGAAGUGAUUGGGCUGAAAGGCAAUAUUAGGGUCUUCUACCGAUGUAGACCUUUAAAUCAAGCUGAAAU